This 984-nucleotide non-coding RNA is filed under the name Furnarius figulus. RNAcentral describes it as "12S ribosomal RNA". It matches the Rfam family "Bacterial small subunit ribosomal RNA". The record is from RNAcentral. Lineage: Eukaryota; Metazoa; Chordata; Aves; Passeriformes; Furnariidae.
AAAAGACUCAGUCCUAACCUUACCGUUAAUUCUUGCUAGACAUAUACAUGCAAGUAUCCGCAUUCCAGUGAAAAUGCCCUUGACAUCUUACCAAUAGACACCAGGAGCAGGUAUCAGGCACGCACCACUUACAUUGCAGCCCAAAACACCUUGCUAAGCCACACCCCCACGGGACCUCAGCAGUAAUUAACAUUAAGCAAUAAGUGAAAACUUGACUUAGCCAUAGCAAUUAACCCCAGGGUUGGUAAAUCUUGUGCCAGCCACCGCGGUCAUACAAGAAACCCAAAUUAACUCUACACGGCGUAAAGAGUGGUUUUUCCUUAUCACCUCAACUAAGAUUGAAAUGUCACCAAGCUGUUAUAAGCACUCGACACACUUAACACCCUCUCCAAAAAUGAUCUUAGCCUUACGACCAAUAAAAUCCCACGAAAGCCAGGAUACAAACUGGGAUUAGAUACCCCACUAUGCCUUCGCCCUAAAUCUUGAUGCUUCCUUACCCAAGCAUCCGCCUGAGAACUACGAGCACAAACGCUUAAAACUCUAAGGACUUGGCGGUGCUCCAAUCCCCCUAGAGGAGCCUGUUCUAUAAUCGAUAACCCACGUUACACCCGACCAUCUCUUGCCAAAUACAGCCUAUAUACCGCCGUCCCCAGCCCACCCUAAAACUGAAGGUCUAAAAGUGGACACAACAGCCACCAUCGCUAACAAGACAGGUCGAGGUAUAGCCCAUGAGAUGGGAGAAAUGGGCUACAUUUUCUAUAAUAGAAUAUCACGACAAGGAGUGUGAAACCACCCCUAAAAGGCGGAUUUAGUAGUAAAGCAGGAUUAUAACGCCUUCUUUAAACAGGCUCUGGAGCACGUACAUACCGCCCGUCACCCUCCUCAUAAGCUAUCCACCACUCCUAAUAACCUAAUGCACCAUUAAGCUAAAGAUGAGGUAAGUCGUAACAAGGUAAGUGUACCGGAAGGUGCACUUAGUCUACC